AUAACCUGUGUGACUCUGAUAGGACAAUGUGAAGAAGUGAUUUCCUCUAAUAUUAGUCAGUGUAUUAGUUUCAGUUUACAAAGUACUGAAUAAAACUAACGACUAUAAAACCAUGGAAACAGUUCUAUCUUUAAGAAAUAAAGACAGUGUGAGCCCCCCACUCAGAGGAUUACAAUCAGCACUGUGAUGAGGGGGUCAGUUGUGGUCCCUCUCCGUUGCUUUUCCUUCUGCCUUCUACCAAAAGCUGUCUCAUCAACAAAGCCCUGGAAGAUUCCAAAUCCUCAGUUUUGGAGUUCCCAUACCCCGAAGUGGCCUUCAGACUCACUUCCUGGAAGACAGAUGACACUUGAAUCAUGGGAACUGAUUUACUUGCUUUAAGAACUCCAAACACCUGGUUGUGAAAUGUGCCCCUUUCAAAACUGCCCUGCACUCGCAGAUUAUUUAAUACAAUCCAUGGACUGAUAGGAGUAGUUUUAUGGGAACUGUUGGAUGGCAAUGAAAUGUCUCAGAUUGCUACUUUUAAAGAGUUCUCUCCUGCGUCAAUGGCAAGAGUCGUUUUCCAAACCUGUAUCAUUUCCUUAGUGAGUCAGCCUCACAAACCUUAUAUUGCCGUCAUUGUUUGUACUACAAAAAUAACGAAUCCCUAAAGUGAGAAGAAAAGCCACAUACGAUCCCUAUAAAAUUCCAACUGAAGAAGUCAUUCAAAGUGCUUUGCUUGUGAAGGAUUGCUUAAAGUCACCUACAACCAGCACUGCGCAAAAGUGUAGAACACAUGGAAUCAGAGAGGGGCAAUCCUGAAACCCAGGAAAAUAUAGAUACACUGGGAAAAUAGAUUCAGGUAGGUAAGAAAGAGAAUACACUUGAACCCAAUGAAGGAAGAUAUAUAAGAAUUUGGAGUGUUGUGUUUCUCUAACUGUGUGGCAUUAUUUAACAAUCUGGAAACAGUUUUCUUUUUUCCCUUGUGAUGGUUUGUGUGUCAACAGGCACUGUUCGGCCUUCUCCACAGGCUUGAUGCUGAAUUGGUGCUCAGAUUACAAACCUCACGCACAAACCAUUUCUUUCCUUAGCAAUUGCUCAUCUGGUGGCCUAAUAAAAAGCUUUUAGUAGCUGCAAAAAAAAUAGAAAAAAAACCCUGUUUACUUAUUUUCAAUUUACAGCUAUUUUAGACUUUAACAAAAUAUCUGUAGCAGCAUCGUUCAAUAAGUAGAAAAAGAAAUGUGUUAGCGAUGAAAUCUCCCAACUGCCCUGUGAUUCCUCUUUCCUGUCACUAGACCAUGAUGUGGAGCAAAGGAAGAUGAUUUAAAGGAUAGGAACAGUGGCCAGCUCUUCCAGGAGGCUGGCUGUUCAUCUACCUGGGAUAGAACGAACAGCCACCAAAUUUUCCUGAGCUAAAAAUCAACUGAUAGUUCUGAUCAACUCCUGAAAUCCCUGAAAUGGCAGAGGAGGGAAAUCAAGAAGAUUGGCAUUGAGUUCAUGAAUCACAGUCAUAGCUCCAACGACAGUAACAGUUUCUAUUUCCUAUGUUCUAGCCACUAAGCUGAGCACUGUGUGAAACACACACACGUGCAUGCAUGUGUGCACACACACAUACACACACACAUAUACCAUUUUUUAUGGAAAACGAAGCUUAAUAAAGUUAACCAAAUUGACAGAGAUAAUAAAUCAAGGAGUCAACAGAAGAAGCCUGUCUCCCCUUCUUAAUUUCAAUAUUCUGUCCUUAAUGUUCAAUCUUAAUGCUCAGUGUCACUUCCCUAUCUGCAAAGAAGAUAGACAGAUGAUGUCAAAAUUCAAGAAAAUCUCCUUCAAACUUUGGAGAUCACAUCAAAUCUCAGAGCAAGAUGAAUGCUGGUGUUCUGUGCUCUCUCUCUCUCUCUCUCUCUCUCUCUCUCUCUCUCUCUCUCUCUGUCAUUUCUAUUCAGAGAGACCAGGGACCAUGGGAUGGUACUGCUCACAUUCAGAAACGAUUAUCAUAUUCAGGAAAACCUGUCUAGAAAUAUCCACACAAAUGUGCUGGAAGAUACAUAUCCUAUAUGAUUUCAAUUCUAGAAUGUUGACAAUGAAAGUUAAUCAUAAUAAAAACAACUGACAAAAACAAGAAAUUAUAAUUCUUAAUAUCU
Molecule: long non-coding RNA, 2117 nt
Organism: Rattus norvegicus (Norway rat)
Lineage: Eukaryota; Metazoa; Chordata; Mammalia; Rodentia; Muridae
Source: RefSeq, a predicted model, not a curated record